Molecule: ribosomal RNA, 273 nt
Filed under: uncultured prokaryote
Description: partial 16S ribosomal RNA
Rfam family: Bacterial small subunit ribosomal RNA
Source: RNAcentral
UACGGAGGGUGCGAGCGUUAUUCGGAAUUACUGGGCGUAAAGCGCGUGUAGGCGGCCAACCAAGUCUGAUGUGAAAGCCCUGGGCUUAACCUGGGAAGUGCAUUGGAAACUGGCUGGCUUGAGUACUGGAGAGGAAGGGGGAAUUCCCGGUGUAGAGGUGAAAUUCGUAGAGAUCGGGAGGAAUACCAGUGGCGAAGGCGCCCUUCUGGACGGUUACUGACGCUGAGACGCGAAAGCGUGGGGAGCAAACAGGAUUAGAAACCCCUGUAGUCC